This 67-nucleotide transfer RNA is filed under the name Rhacodactylus leachianus (New Caledonia giant gecko). RNAcentral describes it as "tRNA-Cys". The record is from RNAcentral. Lineage: Eukaryota; Metazoa; Chordata; Lepidosauria; Squamata; Diplodactylidae.
AGCCCUGUAGUGAGUGACACGUCAAAUUGCAAAUUUGAAGACGCUUCCUUUAUUGGUGCCAGGGCUU